GACGAACGCUGGCGGCGUGCUUAACACAUGCAAGUCGAACGGUGAAGCGCCUUCCUUUUUGGUGGGUGUGGAUGAGUGGCGAACGGGUGAGUAACACGUGAGUAACCUGCCCCCUUCUUCUGGAUAACCGCAUGAAAGUGUGGCUAAUACGGGAUAUUCUGGGUCUGUCGCAUGAUGGGUCUGGGAAAGAUAUUGUUUCGGUGGGGGAUGGGCUCGCGGCCUAUCAGCUUGUUGGGGGGGUGAUGGCCUACCAAGGCGGUGACGGGUAGCCGGCCUGAGAGGGUGGACGGUCGCACUGGGACUGAGACACGGCCCAGACUCCUACGGGAGGCAGCAGUGGGGAAUAUUGCACAAUGGGCGCAAGCCUGAUGCAGCGACGCCGCGUGAGGGAUGGAGGCCUUCGGGUUGUGAACCUCUUUCGCCAGUGAAGCAGGCCUGCCUCGUUUGUGGGUGGGUUGACGGUAGCUGGAUAAGAAGCGCCGGCUAACUACGUG
RNAcentral lists this ribosomal RNA (494 nucleotides) under uncultured bacterium. RNAcentral's name for it is "partial 16S ribosomal RNA". It matches the Rfam family "Bacterial small subunit ribosomal RNA", at positions 28 to 507 of the family's 1533-position model. The record is from RNAcentral.